Molecule: ribosomal RNA, 254 nt
Filed under: uncultured bacterium
Lineage: Bacteria
Description: partial 16S ribosomal RNA
Rfam family: Bacterial small subunit ribosomal RNA
Source: RNAcentral
UACGUAGGGACCAAGCGUUGUUCGGAUUUACUGGGCGUAAAGGGCGCGUAGGCGGUCAGCACAAGUCAGUUGUGAAAUCUCCGGGCUUAACUCGGAAAGGUCAACUGAUACUGUGCGACUAGAGUGCAGAAGGGGCAACUGGAAUUCUCGGUGUAGCGGUGAAAUGCGUAGAUAUCGAGAGGAACACCGAUGGCGAAGGCAAUCCCCUGGGCCUGCACUGACGCUCAUGCACGAAAGCGUGGGGAGCAAACAGG